GCGCUCGUAGCUCAGUUGGUUAGAGCAGUCGCCUUUUAAGCGACGGGUCGGGAGUUCAAGUCUCUUCGGGCGCACCA
RNAcentral lists this transfer RNA (77 nucleotides) under Caudoviricetes sp. Its description in RNAcentral is "tRNA-Lys". It matches the Rfam family "tRNA". Rfam says of the family: Transfer RNA (tRNA) molecules are approximately 80 nucleotides in length. Their secondary structure includes four short double-helical elements and three loops (D, anti-codon, and T loops). Lineage: Duplodnaviria; Heunggongvirae; Uroviricota; Caudoviricetes. The record is from RNAcentral.